Mauremys reevesii (Reeves's turtle) is the source of this 316-nucleotide long non-coding RNA. RefSeq lists it as uncharacterized. NCBI's taxonomy places the organism in Eukaryota, Metazoa, Chordata, Testudines, Geoemydidae. The transcript is spliced from 3 exons. The record is from RefSeq and is a predicted model, not a curated record.
UAUCAAUAGGGAAAAAAAACAGACCUAACUUCUCAGUGGUAAAAAUAAUAAUACUACAGUGUGAAACCUGCCUUAAGCAACCACUCAAGGAGCUGACAACAUUGGUUCCUUUAAGAGCCGGUUCAGCCAUCGCUCCCCAUUAAUCUGUAGAGGGAAGAAGUCCUGACGUCCAACAGAAGCUCUGGUUUUAUUGGUGCAACCAUUCAGUGCACCCUCCACUGCACGCAGCAUCACACAUCUUCCUUUGACUGCAGCAGACGCUGGACAUUUGUUCAGGUACCAGGUGAUAUCCUGGGAUCCUUACUUUUUCAUUCCC